CACCUUGCGCAGGGGCAAUAUCGUAACCAAUGAAGGCCUUCUGAGAUGCGAUUAUUGCUAGUUGAAAUUUAUAGUGAAAAACAAAUUGAAACUUCAUAAAAUAAUUCCAGAAUAAUAACCAAAAAUUAU
Molecule: small nuclear RNA, 129 nt
Filed under: Rhodnius prolixus
Lineage: Eukaryota; Metazoa; Arthropoda; Insecta; Hemiptera; Reduviidae
Description: U4 spliceosomal RNA
Rfam family: U4 spliceosomal RNA
About the family: U4 small nuclear RNA (U4 snRNA) is a component of the major U2-dependent spliceosome. The structure of U4 snRNA from yeast and human has been reported.
Source: Rfam by way of RNAcentral